This 545-nucleotide ribosomal RNA is filed under the name uncultured bacterium. Its description in RNAcentral is "partial 16S ribosomal RNA". It matches the Rfam family "Bacterial small subunit ribosomal RNA", at positions 355 to 887 of the family's 1533-position model. The record is from RNAcentral.
UGGGGAAUAUUGCACAAUGGGCGCAAGCCUGAUGCAGCCAUGCCGCGUGUGUGAAGAAGGCCUUCGGGUUGUAAAGCACUUUCAGCGAGGAGGAAGGUGGUGAACUUAAUACGUUCAUCAAUUGACGUUACUCGUAGAAGAAGCACCGGCUAACUCCGUGCCAGCAGCCGCGGUAAUACGGAGGGUGCAAGCGUUAAUCGGAAUUACUGGGCGUAAAGCGCACGCAGGCGGUUUGUUAAGUCAGAUGUGAAAUCCCCGGGCUCAACCUGGGAACUGCAUUUGAAAACUGGCAAGCUAGAGUCUCGUAGAGGGGGGUAGAAUUCCAGGUGUAGCGGUGAAAUGCGUAGAGAUCUGGAGGAAUACCGGUGGCGAAGGCGGCCCCCUGGACGAAGACUGACGCUCAGGUGCGAAAAGCGUGGGGAGCAAAACAGGAUUAGAUACCCUGGUAGUCCACGCUGUAAAACGAUGUCGAUUUUGGAGGUUGUGCCCUUGAGGCGUGGCUUCCGGAGCUAACGCGUUAAAUCGACCGCCUGGGGAGUACGGCC